AUACAGAGGGUGCGAGCGUUAAUCGGAAUUACUGGGCGUAAAGCGCGCGCAGGCGGCUUAUUAAGUCAGAUGUGAAAUCUCCGGGCUCAACCUGGGAACUGCAUCUGAUACUGGUAAGCUAGAGUUUUGGAGAGGGAAGUAGAAUUUCAGGUGUAGCGGUGAAAUGCAUAGAGAUCUGAAGGAAUACCAGUGGCGAAGGCGACUUCCUGGCCAAAAACUGACGCUGAGGUGCGAAAGCGUGGGUAGCAAACGGGAUUAGAAACCCUAGUAGUCC
Molecule: ribosomal RNA, 274 nt
Filed under: uncultured bacterium
Lineage: Bacteria
Description: partial 16S ribosomal RNA
Rfam family: Bacterial small subunit ribosomal RNA
Source: RNAcentral